Molecule: ribosomal RNA, 788 nt
Filed under: uncultured bacterium
Lineage: Bacteria
Description: bacterial SSU rRNA
Rfam family: Bacterial small subunit ribosomal RNA
Source: RNAcentral
AGAGUUUGAUCCUGGCUCAGAACGAACGCUGGCGGCGUGCUUAACACAUGCAAGUCGAGUGCGCGUGCCGUAGCAAUACGGUAUGGCGCACGGCGCACGGGUGCGUAACACGUGGGCAAUCUGCCCUCCGAUGGGGAAUAACUCCGGGAAACCGAAGCUAAUUCCGCAUAACAUUCCCUGGACUCAGGUUUGGGGAUUCAAAGCAGCAAUGCGUCGGAGGAGGAGCCCGCGCCCGAUUAGCUAGUUGGUGAGGUAACGGCUCACCAAGGCUAUGAUCGGUAGCUGGUCUGAGAGGAUGGCCAGCCACACUGGAACUGAGACACGGUCCAGACUCCUACGGGAGGCAGCAGUGGGGAAUCUUGCGCAAUGGGCGAAAGCCUGAUGCAGCGACGCCGCGUGGGGGAUGAAGCUUUUCGGAGUGUAAACCCCUUUCGACUGGGACGAAUGCCUCGCAAGAGGAGUGACGGUACCAGUAUAAGAAGCCCCGGCUAACUACGUGCCAGCAGCCGCGGUAAGACGUAGGGGGCCAGCGUUGUUCGGAAUUACUGGGUGUAAAGGGUUCGUAGGCGGUGUGGCAAGUCGGGAGUGAAAUCUCUGGGCUCAACCCAGAGACUGCUUCCGAAACUGCUGUGCUUGAGUGUGAGAGAGGCUCGUGGAAUUGCAGGUGUAGCGGUGAAAUGCGUAGAUAUCUGCAGGAACACCCGUGGCGAAAGCGGCGAGCUGGAUCACUACUGACGCUGAGGAACGAAAGCUAGGGGAGCAAACAGGAUUAGAUACCCCGGUAGUCC